ACUAGUGUUGAGAGUGUAGCUACUGUACCAGAGUGUAGCAAAAGGUAUCAGUGACCCCACCACAGCUACCAGCACUGAACAAAGUAUUGUCACUAAGGCUUGCUGUUAGUAUAUCAAUUGACAGUGUCUCUGUUUAUAUUUAAUAUAAUAAUGUGAUGCUUUCUAUUCAGAGUUUGCUUUAUUAACAAUAACAGUAAUAAUUAUCAGUUAGUAUUGAUAUAACAAUCAUUAGUACCAGGUCAAGUCAAAAGUUGAGCAGGCCACUAAAGACAAGUACAGUACUUUCACUGCUUACAAAUACAUUAAGAAAGGAAACAUCUACCUAAUCACGGUAAGGGUCGUUAUGUUGAUGUGAAGAUUGAUUACCGGUUUGGGAAAAAUACUUUAAAAACAGCAACAGCUGCUGCCAGUGGAAUGGAUGCUCCACUCAAGUUGUAGACAUUAAAAAAAGAAUAAACAGAAUUAAUUAUUACUAGUAAUUGAUCAGUUUUUGGCAAUAGAA
Molecule: long non-coding RNA, 502 nt
Organism: Amphimedon queenslandica
Lineage: Eukaryota; Metazoa; Porifera; Demospongiae; Haplosclerida; Niphatidae
Exons: 2
Source: RefSeq, a predicted model, not a curated record